Non-coding RNA from Micropterus salmoides (largemouth bass), 1104 nucleotides. NCBI's taxonomy places the organism in Eukaryota, Metazoa, Chordata, Actinopteri, Centrarchiformes, Centrarchidae. The record is from the annotation of a RefSeq genome assembly.
UCGGUGUGUUUGAACGGGAGAGUUUUGGAAUCUGAUUGUUUCUUAUUUUUGGUUACACUUACACUAUACUGCAGCAACAAAUGCAAAAGUGGAGAUAUUUUCAGCUUCAAGAACGGUUUUCAUCCGGACUCAGUUUGCUGAGCUCUGACGGAUACGUCUGCUUAGUACGCCGUCCCAGAAGUCUCCUCCUGUAAGUUUAACCAGGUUUCGGGCUCCAACAGAAGUUGUGUACAGUUUGCAGAUUGGAGGUUUCAGACAGGUGUUUGUGUCCAGAUUCCUUCAGGUGAAUUUCCUGCAGAUUCCUCCUUCAGUCUGACCUUCUUGGAUGAUGAUGACUGCAGCAUCACUGUCAUUUCUAAAGCUUCCAUCAGCCUGAAUGGAAACAGAGCACAGCAAGAGGAGGAGCUCCACAACUGAAUAUGAAAGGCUUCAUGUUGGAAGUGAAGAGCUGCUGUGUCCUCUCUAUUGUUCAUUCAGUACAAGUGGAAAUGAUGCAGCUCUGCUUAGUUUGGAUGAUCAUCUUCAUGUUUCACACUGGAUCCUCUGAGGAUUUAGUGAAACCAUUUAAAGAUGUAAUGCUGGCUUUGGAAGGAGACUCUGUGACUCUCUCCUGCAACUAUUCAGGCUCUGUACAAAACCUCUACUGGUAUCAACAGAAGUCCAGUUCAUCUCCACAGUUUUUCCUCGCAGAAUAUUCAAAGAAAGCAGGGUUUUCUUUGAAACAUGACAAAACAGCAAAGGAGUUUCAUCUGCAGAUCUCCUCUGCUGCAGUGACAGACUCUGCUGUGUACUACUGUGCUCUGCAGCCCACAGUGACAGGAAACACCAAAACUCUGUACAAAAACCUUUGGAGCAAAGACAACAGAAUACUCCACAACGUCCACUAGAGGGAGUCACACACUUAACUGAGAAGAUUCCAACAAGAUUGUUCUUUCUCUCCACUGUUUUAUACUUUAAAAAUGUUCUAACUACCUGACAGUUUGGUCCAGAGGACAACAUGUUAUGAUCAACAAUUAUUUUCAGUGACAACUAACAUGCUUCAUUCGAGGUCGACUUUGUCAGUGAUUUCUUCAAGAUGUCAUUUUCUUCUUUUUGGCUUUUUCC